GAGAUAAACUAAUGAACUGCUAAUUCAUAACUCCGUAUUUAACCAUACGGUUAUCUCA
Molecule: transfer RNA, 58 nt
Filed under: Echinosorex gymnura
Lineage: Eukaryota; Metazoa; Chordata; Mammalia; Eulipotyphla; Erinaceidae
Description: tRNA-Ser
Source: RNAcentral